CCCUUAGAUGUUCUGGGUCGCACGCGCGCUACACUGGUGCGUUCAACAAGUUUACAACCUUGAUUGACAAGUCUGGGUAAUCUUUUGAAUGCGCACCGUGCUAGGGAUAGAUUAUUGCAAUUAUUAAUCUUGAACGAGGAAUUCCUAGUAAACGCAAGUCAUCAGCUUGCAUUGAUUACGUCCCUGCCCUUUGUACACACCGCCCGUCGCACCUACCGAUUGAAUGGUCCGGUGAAAUCUCGGGACGGCGGCUUGGUCGCUUGCGUCCGACUGCUGAAACUUGAUUAAACCAUAUCAUUUAGAGGAAGGUGAAGUCGUAACA
RNAcentral lists this ribosomal RNA (322 nucleotides) under uncultured eukaryote. RNAcentral describes it as "partial 18S ribosomal RNA". It matches the Rfam family "Eukaryotic small subunit ribosomal RNA", at positions 1470 to 1796 of the family's 1831-position model. The record is from RNAcentral.